GACGAACGCUGGCGGCGUGCUUAACACAUGCAAGUCGAACGGAAAGGCCCUGCUUUUGUGGGGUGCUCGAGUGGCGAACGGGUGAGUAACACGUGAGUAACCUGCCCUUGACUUUGGGAUAACUUCAGGAAACUGGGGCUAAUACCGGAUAGGAGCUCCUGCUGCAUGGUGGGGGUUGGAAAGUGUCGGCGGUUGGGGUUGGACUCGCGGCUUAUCAGCUUGCUGGUGGGGUAGUGGCUUACCAAGGCUGUGACGGGUAGCCGGCCUGGGAGGGUGACCGGCCACAUUGGGCCUGGGGUGCGGCCCGGGCUCAUUCGGGGGGCAGCGGUGGGGAAUUUAGCACGAUAGACGGAGGCCUGGUGGAGCAACGCCGCGUGCGGGAUGACGGCCUUCGGGUUGGAAACCGAUUUCGCCUGUGACGAAGCGUGAUUGACGGUAAUGGGUAAAGAGGCACCGGCAAACUACUU
RNAcentral lists this ribosomal RNA (467 nucleotides) under uncultured bacterium. RNAcentral describes it as "partial 16S ribosomal RNA". It matches the Rfam family "Bacterial small subunit ribosomal RNA", at positions 28 to 506 of the family's 1533-position model. The record is from RNAcentral.